GUUUUACUAAUUUAAAUAAAAAUAUUGGUUUUGUAAACCAAAAAUAAGAAUAACUUGUAAAACU
Molecule: transfer RNA, 64 nt
Filed under: Cassena terminalis
Lineage: Eukaryota; Metazoa; Arthropoda; Insecta; Coleoptera; Chrysomelidae
Description: tRNA-Thr
Source: RNAcentral